CGGGGUCCACUUAUCCGACCGCCUCCCCACCACUGAUCCCAACCGCGUCCUACUCCCCGUUAUAUCCACGUCCUCUACCUCUCCGUCAACCAUGAUUUGAGGGAGAGCAGACUAUGACGGAGUCUAAUGAUCCGGUAACAGGACACAUCAUCUCCACCACCAUUGGAGGCAAAAAUAGUGAACCUAAGAGAACGAUUAGCUAUAUGGCUUGUGAAUUUAUCUACUAUCCAACUCGGUGAAGAAAAUGACGAUGAUGAUGAAGUCAAAGGGCGGUAGAUGAGGCUUAUCGAGUUAUUGGGUUUCGCAUCUGUGUCGGAUGGUAUAUCGGAGCUCGCUCUCCUGUGUGCUUUUUCUCCCUCUCGCGCUCUCUUCUCUCUCCUGGCGGUGGCGUUCUUGCUCCUCUCUCUCUCUCUCUCUCUCUCUCCCCCCUCUCUUUCAGCCCUCAGCAGUGAUUUUUGGGGAAUUAAAGAGGAAUUAUUACUGUAGCUAUA
This is a long non-coding RNA of Asparagus officinalis (garden asparagus), 491 nucleotides long. RefSeq lists it as uncharacterized. Lineage: Eukaryota; Viridiplantae; Streptophyta; Magnoliopsida; Asparagales; Asparagaceae. The record is from RefSeq and is a predicted model, not a curated record. The transcript is spliced from 3 exons.